Molecule: ribosomal RNA, 113 nt
Filed under: Acanthosepion pharaonis
Lineage: Eukaryota; Metazoa; Mollusca; Cephalopoda; Sepiida; Sepiidae
Source: RNAcentral
UUACGGUCAAAUCACGCUGAAAACACCGGUUCUCGCUAGAUCACCGAAGUUAAGUAUCGUAGAGCCAGGUCAGUACUUAGAUGGGGACCGCUUGGGAACACCUGGUACUGAAA